Molecule: ribosomal RNA, 359 nt
Filed under: uncultured Diversispora
Lineage: Eukaryota; Fungi; Glomeromycota; Glomeromycetes; Diversisporales; Diversisporaceae
Description: SSU rRNA
Rfam family: Eukaryotic small subunit ribosomal RNA
Source: RNAcentral
UUGGAAAUCAGGACUAUUACUUUGAAAAAAUUAGAGUGUUUAAAGCAGGCUAACGUCUGAAUAUAUUAGCAUGGAAUAAUGAAAUAGGACGGCUUGGUUCUAUUUCGUUGGUUUCUAGGAUCACCGUAAUGAUUAAUAGGGAUAGUUGGGGGCAUUAGUAUUCAAUUGUCAGAGGUGAAAUUCUUGGAUUUAUUGAAGACUAACUACUGCGAAAGCAUUUGCCAAGGAUGUUUUCAUUAAUCAAGAACGAAAGUUAGGGGAUCGAAGACGAUCAGAUACCGUCGUAGUCUUAACCAUAAACUAUGCCGACUAGGGAUCGGACGAAGUUAAUUUUAUAAUGACGCGUUCGGCACCUUACG